UACGAAGGGGGCUAGCGUUGCUCGGAAUCACUGGGCGUAAAGGGCGCGUAGGCGGCGUUUUAAGUCGGGGGUGAAAGCCUGUGGCUCAACCACAGAAUGGCCUUCGAUACUGGGACGCUUGAGUAUGGUAGAGGUUGGUGGAACUGCGAGUGUAGAGGUGAAAUUCGUAGAUAUUCGCAAGAAUACCGGUGGCGAAGGCGGCCAACUGGACCAUUACUGACGCUGAGGCGCGAAAGCGUGGGGAGCAAACAGG
Molecule: ribosomal RNA, 253 nt
Filed under: uncultured bacterium
Lineage: Bacteria
Description: partial 16S ribosomal RNA
Rfam family: Bacterial small subunit ribosomal RNA
Source: RNAcentral